CUUGGUCAUUUAGAGGAAGUAAAAGUCGUAACAAGGUUUCCGUAGGUGAACCUGCGGAAGGAUCAUUAAAAAAAGAGAAACGUCCCGUUUUUUUUCAUAAGAAUGGGUUCUAUUCCCUUAAACCGUGUCUACAUACCUUUGUUGCUUUGGCAGGCCGCCUUCGGGCGUCGGCUCCGGCUGAUAGUGCCUGCCAGAGGACCUAAACUCUAUGUUUAGUGAUGUCUGAGUACUAUAUAAUAUUUAAAACUUUCAACAACGGAUCUCUUGGUUCUGGCAUCGAUGAAGAACGCAGCGAAAUGCGAUAAGUAAUGUGAAUUGCAGAAUUCAGUGAAUCAUCGAAUCUUUGAACGCACAUUGCGCCCCUUGGUAUUCCGAGGGGCAUGCCUGUUCGAGCGUCAUUAUAACCACUCAAGCCUGGCUUGGUAUUGGGGUUUUCGCGUGUUCGCGGCCCUUAAAAUCAGUGGCGGUGCCGUCUGGCUCUAAGCGUAGUAAUUUCUCUCGCUAUAGGGUUCCGGUGGUUACUUGCCAAAACCCCCCAUUUUUUCUAGGUUGACCUCGGAUCAGGUAGGGAUACCCGCUGAACUUAAGCAUAUCAAUAAGCGGAGGA
This 607-nucleotide ribosomal RNA is filed under the name uncultured Meliniomyces. RNAcentral's name for it is "eukaryotic LSU rRNA". The stretch from base 245 to 398 matches the Rfam family "5.8S ribosomal RNA". The record is from RNAcentral. Lineage: Eukaryota; Fungi; Ascomycota; Leotiomycetes; Helotiales; Helotiaceae.